This 252-nucleotide ribosomal RNA is filed under the name uncultured Bacteroidales bacterium. RNAcentral's name for it is "partial 16S ribosomal RNA". It matches the Rfam family "Bacterial small subunit ribosomal RNA", at positions 524 to 776 of the family's 1533-position model. Lineage: Bacteria; Pseudomonadati; Bacteroidota; Bacteroidia; Bacteroidales. The record is from RNAcentral.
UACGGAGGAUGCGAGCGUUAUCCGGAUUUAUUGGGUUUAAAGGGUGCGCAGGCGGGCUGUUAAGCCGGCGGUAAAAAUUCAGGGCUCAACCCUGUCGAGCCGUCGGAACUGGCAGUCUUGAGUGGGCGAGAAGUACGCGGAAUGCGCGGUGUAGCGGUGAAAUGCGUAGAUAUACGGAGGAACACCAGUGGCGAAGGCGGAUUGCUGGACAGUAACUGACGCUGAGGCGCGAAAGCGUGGGGAGCAAACAGG